Molecule: ribosomal RNA, 407 nt
Filed under: uncultured bacterium
Lineage: Bacteria
Description: partial 16S ribosomal RNA
Rfam family: Bacterial small subunit ribosomal RNA
Source: RNAcentral
AUUGAACGCUGGCGGCAGGCCUAACACAUGCAAGUCGAGCGGAGCGGCGGACGGGUGAGUAAGGCCUAGGAGUCUGCCUGGUAGUGGGGGAUAACGUACGGAAACGGGCGCUAAUACCGAAUACUAGCCGUUGAGCAUAGGUCGGAUUAGCUAGUGGGUGGGGGAAAGGCCUACCAAGGUGACGAUCCGUAACUGGUCUGAGAGGACGAUCAGUCACACGGGAACUGAGACACGGUCCAGACCCCUACGGGAGGCAGCAGUGGGGAAUAUUCGACAAGGGGGGAAAGCCUGAUGCAGCCAGGCCGCGUGUGUGAAGAAGGUCUUCGGAUUGUAAAGCACUUUAAGUUGGGAGGCGUUACCAACAGAAGAAGCACCGGCUAACUUCGUGCCAGCAGCCGCGGUAAUAC